GUGGGGAAUAUUGGGCAAUGGACGCAAGUCUGACCCAGCAACGCCGCGUGAAGGAAGAAGGCUUUCGGGUUGUAAACUUCUUUUGUCAGGGAAGAGUAGAAGACGGUACCUGACGAAUAAGCCACGGCUAACUACGUGCCAGCAGCCGCGGUAAUACGUAGGUGGCAAGCGUUGUCCGGAUUUACUGGGUGUAAAGGGCGUGCAGCCGGGCCGGCAAGUCAGAUGUGAAAUCUGGAGGCUUAACCUCCAAACUGCAUUUGAAACUGUAGGUCUUGAGUACCGGAGAGGUUAUCGGAAUUCCUUGUGUAGCGGUGAAAUGCGUAGAUAUAAGGAAGAACACCAGUGGCGAAGGCGGAUAACUGGACGGCAACUGACGGUGAGGCGCGAAAGCGUGGGGAGCAAACAGGA
RNAcentral lists this ribosomal RNA (408 nucleotides) under uncultured bacterium. RNAcentral describes it as "bacterial SSU rRNA". It matches the Rfam family "Bacterial small subunit ribosomal RNA", at positions 354 to 777 of the family's 1533-position model. The record is from RNAcentral.